UAACACAUAAUAUACAACGUUCAAGUUGCAUAAGCGAUCUCUAGAAUUAUACAGAUCGCCUAUGUAAGAUAGGCGUUUUGUAUGUUAAAAGCUAUAGAGCGCCUAUCUAUGUUAAUAGCUCUAUAUGAUAAAUUCAAAUUUACCCUAUACAAUAUAGAGCGCCUCUUUCAGUUCACCGUUCUAUAAAUAUUUAAAAAAAAAAAAAUUAAAAUAAGUAUCUAAUACGACACCCACGACUAACCCUAAAUACUUGUAUCAAAAUGAGCCGCCCCCUUCUGUCUUCUUCUCUUUUUCACUCCUUCAUAUCCCCUUUCUCUCUCCUCUCCCCCUUCCUCUCUUUCUCUCUCCUCUUCCACCAUCACCGACGACACUGUAGUCUAGCUUCUCACGCCCACCGAUGACACCGUAGUCUAGCCACCACCGAGCAAUGAGCGUCGAUCGUCCACCACUGUGGCAUGAGAAGUCGAUUCGAAUUUAAUUGGUCAAGGUUGGAAGCGUUGUUGUAACUACAAUGGUGGCAAGCUAUUUCAAUUUCUUCAUUUUUUAUGUUUAGUUUGUUUAAUUGGAUCUAUAGUAAUUUUUAAAUUUUUUAUGUUUAGUUUGUAACUGUAAUUCUGGUUUUAUGAGUGUUAUAUGAACUGGGUUUAUUUUAAUAUCUUAUGGGAUGAAAUUUUAUUGUUACAUAAAUUGUAUUAAGAUCUAUUUUUGUUGGGGUGGAUUGAUUGAAGUUGUAAAAAAUUUAGUUUAAAUUACAUUGCAACUAUAGUCUUAUCAUUUGUUGUUACAUGUUUUUAAAGAUUUAUGAGUGCAAAUUUGCUUGACAGCGGCAGGAUUGACACCAUCGGCUUAAUUAUUUUGUACGAAGCAUUGUAGAACUUGUAAUGUAAAUUUCUUGUAAGGAACUUUGAUGUAAUUGAAAUAUUUGUAAUUUUUAAAUUAA
This is a long non-coding RNA of Chenopodium quinoa (quinoa), 940 nucleotides long. RefSeq lists it as uncharacterized. The transcript is spliced from 2 exons. The record is from RefSeq and is a predicted model, not a curated record. Lineage: Eukaryota; Viridiplantae; Streptophyta; Magnoliopsida; Caryophyllales; Amaranthaceae.